RNA transcript from Vidua chalybeata, 2338 nucleotides. RefSeq lists it as uncharacterized. NCBI's taxonomy places the organism in Eukaryota, Metazoa, Chordata, Aves, Passeriformes, Viduidae. The transcript is spliced from 3 exons. The record is from RefSeq and is a predicted model, not a curated record.
GCCCCGCGCCUGUACGGAGAGCGAGGGCUGGGGGCAUUUCCCCUUGUGAACAGCCCCCUCCGCUCCCCGGGCAGCGUCGCCUCUCCAGAACCCUCACGGCAUCCUACCGAAUCAUAAAAUGUUCACGGCUGGAAGAGACCUUAAACUACCCCUAAACCACAUCACCCUGAGCCAGAUCCACGCACCUCUUCAACACCUCUAGGGAUGGUGACUCCACCACUUCCCUGGGCAGCCUGUUCCAAGGCCAGAUCACCCGAAUAGUGAUUUUUUUUCCCCCUGAUAUCUAAUCUGAAUGUCGCCUGUCCUGCGCCUGCCGCAUUCUCCCGCGCCCCCUCCCCUCACGCAGCCGCCAGCAGCUCCUCGCUGCUCCCCCGGCGCUGCCCCUUGCUCCCAGCCUGAGGUGGGCCGUGCCCGCAUCCCUGCCCCUCUUAUCCCACCCUUGGGAACCCGGGCCAGUGCAGCCCUUCAGAGACUUGGGCAGGACUCUCGGAGCCACAGAAUCGCUGAGGCUGGAAAGGACCUCUGCGGCCAUCGAGUCACUCCUGUGACCGAUCACCACCGUGACAACCAGGCCCUGGCACUGAGGGCCACGUCCGGACAGUCCCUAAACACCCCCAGGGACGGUGACUCCACCACCCGAGCACUCAGCCUGAGUCCUGCUGUGUUGGCAGAACCCGGUGCCACAGAAUGUCCCUGCCGUGACUGCGUGUGCCAGGGGCCGAAGGUGACAGCAGCGGGAGGGGAGCCGUGGCAGUCUGUCCUUCUGACAGCAGAGUUUGCUCUGCUCCCGGAUGGAUGCCAGGGGGCCGCCGAGGUUCCUGGCUUCUCGGCUGCGAUGCGGCCACGACCUGGCUGCUGCUGCCGGCCGGGCACGUUAGGCCCUGGUUCACCACAGACCCUCAGUCUGGGACAAAGGCUUGCUGUUCCUGGAGUUUGGGAACCUGUGCCUAAAUCUGUACCAGUGAGAAGAGCAGAGGAUGCGUCUACCCGAGGAAGGAUUGGCAGAGGUGUGUCGAGUCUGUACCCAUCCAAGGGACACGUCUCUCCUGUGCCCUGGCAAACGGCAGUGAUGGCUCUGUCUGUCCUGCACAGGCUGGGACAGGCUCAGCCUUGCUGAGUGCCUAAACCUGCUCACUAGUUUUGAAAAUGAAUCAGGUUAAAACUGAGGAAAAAAUAUAUAUUUUCCAUUACCGGUCAAAAAUAAGAAAUUCUGACCUCCUAGAAAUGCUGGAAGUUGUCCAUUUGCCUUGCGUGGGAGUGCUCCCAAAGCAAGCAACUGGUUUUCAAAAUUAAACGCAAUGCUGACUGUAUAGUCUUUCAAAGUUAAUAGUGUAUUUGUUGCUAUUGCUUAAGCUGCAGUCAUUGCUGUUUCAACAGCACUGUGUAGGUAUUGUUUUCUGCCAAGACCUCUUCAACAGUGCACCUUGAAAUUUCACUUCUCUGAAGUCUGGAGUGCAAAAAUAAAUUGUUUCUAUUUCAAAAGAGAAACUUUAAUUUAUUCCCACACAAUAGUCCUGAGGAAGAGGUAGAUCCUGGUAACAGCAGAAAUGUGCAGAGGCCGCUGCAAGGCACAGGAGGAGAGUGUGCCAAAGUCUUUGGAAGCAGGUUUCUGUGAAUGCACAAGCAUUCAAGAAAGAAGCCCAUUUCCCAAGGAACCUGGGAUGCUAAAGUCACUGGGAGGUUUUCAAAAGUAGGGAAAAUGCAACAGGAUUCAGCUGGAUCCUCAUGAGAAGGGAUUGAUGGACAAAUGGGAUUUAUCCAUCCUCCCUGCCUUUCCCGAGUCCUCUGGAGGAUGUGAAGCAAAAGAAGGGAGAAACCUGAACAUCAAGCAAGUUGGAACUGAAGCCUGUCUUAGCAAUUGCAGCAGGUAAUUUCCCUGGGGAGGAGAGAUGUUACUGGCAGAGGCCAGUAGAUUAUAUGUAUAUAUAUUUUUUGUCAAAAUAUGGAGUGUAUUUCUACAUAAAACUACACAAUAUGGUAGCAGCAUAAGGUUGGGCAUUGGAAUUGAGAAUGAAAAGUUUGAACUCUAGGUUGAACUGAUGGGUCCUUUGAGAUGUAACCAAAUUAUAUUUACUCAUGAUUCUAAGCCUGAUCCCAUUUCCCUCACUCAUGUGUGUAGUCCUGCUUGUUUCAAAUACCUGCAAGAUUUGUUUGUUCAAUUAAGAUAUUACCAGCCAGUUCUGAACUUCCUUGAUUCACAUACUUCGCCAGACUUUAGUUAAAGACCUAAAUAUUUGUUUUCCAUAUGUAUUUUAAUUACUUUUGUCAUAUUUUAAAUUGAAUAAAAUAUCUGAAAAUGCCUGUGCUUGUAGCAGACACAUCACAAUGCUCCAUUAGA